ACGAGUCAUUCGAUCGAGAAUCGAUUCACCAGGUGCGGUCGUGCUGUAUGUUUAUGAAUCACUAAAAUCACUGGAUUUUAAGAUCAGUUUGUUCGUGUGUCGGACUGCGUUGGUGAGAGUAUGGUUUUAUUUAUUUUUAGUGUGCCGAAAAACAACCACAACGAGUCUUUUGUUCGUGAUUCUGAAUCGGAUUUCAUUCCACGUUGUGUCCACGACCGCCGCGCCUCGAAGACUCAACUCUGAAAGACUUAUUGAGGUACACAUGGAAGACACACUGAUUUGGGAUUUUGGUGAAAUUUGA
This 301-nucleotide long non-coding RNA is filed under the name Danio rerio (zebrafish). RNAcentral describes it as "lncRNA (ENSDARG00000117296.1)". Lineage: Eukaryota; Metazoa; Chordata; Actinopteri; Cypriniformes; Danionidae. The record is from RNAcentral.